RNAcentral lists this transfer RNA (73 nucleotides) under Bovichtus variegatus (thornfish). RNAcentral's name for it is "partial tRNA-Glu". The stretch from base 19 to 73 matches the Rfam family "tRNA", at positions 1 to 57 of the family's 71-position model. Rfam says of the family: Transfer RNA (tRNA) molecules are approximately 80 nucleotides in length. Their secondary structure includes four short double-helical elements and three loops (D, anti-codon, and T loops). The record is from RNAcentral. Lineage: Eukaryota; Metazoa; Chordata; Actinopteri; Perciformes; Bovichtidae.
ACGAAAGCUUGCCAUUAUGUUCUAGUAGUUGAAGUACAACGAUGGUUUUUCAAGCCAUUAGUCUUGGUUAAAG